GGCCGCGUAGCGUAAUGGUUAACGCGCUAGUUUCCGGAGCUAGAGAUUGUGAGUUCGAGUCUCACCGUGGUCG
This is a non-coding RNA of Stygiomarasmius scandens, 73 nucleotides long. Lineage: Eukaryota; Fungi; Basidiomycota; Agaricomycetes; Agaricales; Campanellaceae. The record is from the annotation of a GenBank genome assembly.